GUCCCGCCGCCGCCUGGCCGCGCUGGGGCGGGGUUCGGCCGCAGGCGCGCGACGGGAAGGGGCGCGGGGGUACGGAGGCGGCCCGAGGGGUCUCGCGAGCGGAGUCGAGCGCCACUCACCCGGCGCCAAACACCAGAACCGGGGCCGCCCUGCGCGAGACGACAAGCGACAGCGAAGAGCGUUAGGCUGUGGCCGGACAGUGGCGGCGCCGACACUUCCUGCCUGAAGGGGCGGAGCGGAAGGCGCACCGGAAGGCGCGGCGGGACCAAGUGGAACGGGGGUUUUGUUCUAGAUCGUGUUUGUGGCUGUGUUCUUCAGGAUAUUUUCCCUCAACUUGAGGAUUUCCCUCAUCUACCUUUCUUGGGGAGAUACAACUAAAACCAACAAAAGCCAAGUUUGGUAAAUAAGUUUAAACAAGUGCUUCUCUGUACAGCUCAUCCACUUCCUCAUCUGUAAACCGAUCCCCCAUGGUUGUCAGCAGCUCUCUCAAGUAAUCUUCCUGAAUGGUGCCUGGAGAAUAAAGAACAAGGAAUCAGAAUACAUAGUAUUCUGAGGGUUAAUUACAAAGAAUAUCUACACUCGACUAAGCAUGUUCUGUAUGCUACAAACUAUAAACAUGCAAAUAUAUGAACUACAGGGUGUCCCCCUACUUAAAACAGCCUCAGCAGAGAAGUGCCUAGAAAAAUGCCUAGCUGCUUAGCAGCAUUGCUCUGCGCUAUCAUUUGCUCUGUCAUUCUGCCUCCACAUUCAGCUUCUGAUCUCUUGCUAAGAGAGACUAAACCUAUGCCUAAACAAAGUAAUAAAAAGUAUGGUUAAAUAA
Nomascus leucogenys (northern white-cheeked gibbon) is the source of this 820-nucleotide long non-coding RNA. RefSeq lists it as uncharacterized. The record is from RefSeq and is a predicted model, not a curated record. The transcript has 4 exons. Lineage: Eukaryota; Metazoa; Chordata; Mammalia; Primates; Hylobatidae.